UACGUAGGGGGCAAGCGUUGUCCGGAAUCAUUGGGCGUAAAGCGCGUGUAGUCGGCUCGGUAAGUCCGCUCUGAAAGUCCAGGGCUCAACCCUGGGAUGCGGGUGGAUACUGCCGGGCUCGAGUCCGGAAGAGGCGAGUGGAAUUCCCGGUGUAGCGGUGAAAUGCGCAGAUAUCGGGAGGAACACCAAUGGCGAAGGCAGCUCGCUGGGACGUGACUGACGCUGAGACGCGAAAGCGUGGGGAGCAAACAGG
This 253-nucleotide ribosomal RNA is filed under the name uncultured bacterium. RNAcentral describes it as "partial 16S ribosomal RNA". It matches the Rfam family "Bacterial small subunit ribosomal RNA", at positions 524 to 776 of the family's 1533-position model. The record is from RNAcentral.